GGGACGGAGGGCCGGGCUAGGAGACGCGGUCCUCCACGGUCCCAGCCGGCCCCGCGCCCGCUUGUCGGCUCCCUUCCCCCCAGCCGCACGCUGCGUGGCUGCUCGUUGGCUGCUUAGGACGGAAGCCCGGUUGGUGUUUCUCCAGAAGUUUCCCCCUUGGGCGGUGGCAGAGCUCAUAACCGCGGUAGUAGCAGCCUCAGCGGCAGCAAUUGUGACUAUCGGGAAUGGCGGCGGCUGCAGCAGGCCCUGCAACAGCCCAGAGGUUUUUCCAGAGCUGCUCAGAUGCUCUGAUCGACGAGGAUCCCCAGGCGGCGUUAGAGGAGCUGACUAAGGCUUUGGAACAGAAACCAGAUGAUGCACAAUAUUAUUGUCAAAGAGCUUAUUGUCACAUUCUUCUUGGGAAUUACUGUGAUGCUGUCACUGAUGCAAAGAAAUCUCUUGAACUCAAUCCAAAUAAUUCUACUGCUAUGCUGAGAAAAGGGAUAUGUGAAUACCAUGAAAAAAAUUAUGCUGCUGCUCUAGAAACUUUUACAGAAGGACAAAAAUUAUAUAGAGAGAUGGGGUCUCGCUCUUGCUCAGGCUGGUCUUAAACUCCCGAGCUCAAGCGAUCCUCCUGCCUUGGCCUCCCAGAGUGCUAGGAUUACAGGUACAGAUGCUGAUUUCAAUGUCUGGAUUAAAAGAUGUCAAGAAGCUCAGAAUGGAUCAGAAUCUGACGUGCGGACUCAUCAGUCAAAAAUCAAGUAUGACUGGUAUCAAACAGAAUCUCAAGUAAUCAUUACACUUAUGAUCAAGAAUGUUCAGAAGAAGGAUGUAAAUGUGGAAUUUUCAGAAAAAGAGUUGUCUGCUUUGGUGAAACUUCCAUCUGGAGAGGAUUACAAUUUGAAACUCAGACUUCUUUAUCCUAUAAUACCAGAACAGAGCACAUUUAAAGUACUUUCAACAAAGAUUGAAAUUAAAAUGAAAAAGCCAGAGGCUGUGAGAUGGGAGAUGCUAGAGGGGCAAGGAGAUGUGUCUAAGCCAAAACAGUUCAUAACAGAUGUAAAGAAUCUAUAUCCAUCAUCAUCUCAUUAUACAAGAAAUUGGGAUAAAUUGGUUGGUGAGAUCAAAGAAGAAGAAAAGAAUGAGAAGUUGGAGGGAGAUGCAGCUUUAAACAAAUUAUUUCAGCAGAUCUAUUCAGAUGGUUCUGAUGAAGUUAAACGUGCCAUGAACAAAUCAUUUAUGGAGUCUGGUGGUACAGUUUUGAGUACCAACUGGUCUGAUGUAGGUAAAAGAAAAGUUGAAAUCAACCCUCCUGAUGAUAUGGAAUGGAAAAAGUACUAAAUAAAUUAAUUUGCUCUUACUGUAUUGCGUAUAUUCA
Molecule: RNA transcript, 1357 nt
Organism: Propithecus coquereli (Coquerel's sifaka)
Lineage: Eukaryota; Metazoa; Chordata; Mammalia; Primates; Indriidae
Gene: SUGT1
Gene name: SGT1, suppressor of G2 allele of SKP1 (S. cerevisiae)
Exons: 14
Source: RefSeq, a predicted model, not a curated record